GUCGGGGUGGCGGAAUUGGCAGACGCGCACGUUUGAGGGGCGUGUGGGGAAACCCGUGCGGGUUCAAGUCCCGCUCUCGACACCA
RNAcentral lists this transfer RNA (85 nucleotides) under Alicyclobacillus fastidiosus. Its description in RNAcentral is "tRNA-Leu". It matches the Rfam family "tRNA". From Rfam's summary of the family: Transfer RNA (tRNA) molecules are approximately 80 nucleotides in length. Their secondary structure includes four short double-helical elements and three loops (D, anti-codon, and T loops). The record is from RNAcentral. Lineage: Bacteria; Bacillati; Bacillota; Bacilli; Caryophanales; Alicyclobacillaceae.